AACGCGUGGGAACGUGCCCUUUGGUUCGGAAUAGCCUCGGGAAACUGGGAGUAAUACCGGAUAAGCCCCUCGGGGGAAAGAUUUAUCGCCAAAGGAUCGGCCCGCGUUGGAUUAGGUAGUUGGUGGGGUAAUGGCCUACCAAGCCGACGAUCCAUAGCUGGUUUGAGAGGAUGAUCAGCCACACUGGGACUGAGACACGGCCCAGACUCCUACGGGAGGCAGCAGUGGGGAAUCUUAGACAAUGGGGGAAACCCUGAUCUAGCCAUGCCGCGUGAGCGAUGAAGGCCUUAGGGUUGUAAAGCUCUUUCAGUGGGGAAGAUAAUGACGGUACCCACAGAAGAAGCCCCGGCUAACUCCGUGCCAGCAGCCGCGGUAAUACGGAGGGGGCUAGCGUUGUUCGGAAUUACUGGGCGUAAAGCGCACGUAGGCGGACCGGAAAGUCAGAGGUGAAAUCCCAGGGCUCAACCUUGGAACUGCCUUUGAAACUCCUGGUCUUGAGGUCGAGAGAGGUGAGUGGAAUUCCGAGUGUAGAGGUGAAAUUCGUAGAUAUUCGGAGG
Molecule: ribosomal RNA, 557 nt
Filed under: uncultured bacterium
Lineage: Bacteria
Description: bacterial SSU rRNA
Rfam family: Bacterial small subunit ribosomal RNA
Source: RNAcentral